RNAcentral lists this ribosomal RNA (253 nucleotides) under uncultured bacterium. RNAcentral describes it as "partial 16S ribosomal RNA". It matches the Rfam family "Bacterial small subunit ribosomal RNA", at positions 524 to 776 of the family's 1533-position model. The record is from RNAcentral.
UACGGAGGAUCCGAGCGUUAUCCGGAUUUAUUGGGUUUAAAGGGAGCGUAGGCGGGUUGUUAAGUCAGUUGUGAAAGUUUGCGGCUCAACCGUAAAAUUGCAGUUGAUACUGGCAUCCUUGAGUACAGUAGAGGUAGGCGGAAUUCGUGGUGUAGCGGUGAAAUGCUUAGAUAUCACGAAGAACUCCGAUUGCGAAGGCAGCAUACCGGCGCCCUACUGACGCUGAGGCACGAAAGCGUGGGUAUCGAACAGG